GUAUGUACCCCCAGAAGUACUUCCGCUCAGAGAAGAAGGAGACGGCAAGCAGGGUGUACAGGAAGGCCCAGAACCAGCCUGCUGUCAGGAUCAGAACAAAAGAGGAGGACUGCAUAUGUAUGGACCCACUCCAGAUGGCACGGGGACGGGGGGAGUAGGAAAAGUGGCAUGAUGAGGAAAUGGAGGCACAGACUGAUUAGAAAACCAGCUCAAGGUCAUGUUGCUGAAAUACUUCUAAGGGGCCAGGCGUGGUGACUCAUGCUUGUAAUUCCAAGCACUUUGGGAGGCUGAGGCAGGUGGAUCACCUGAAGCCAGGAGUUCAAGAGCAGCCUGGCCAACAUGGCGAAACCCUGUCUCUACUAAAAAUACAAAAUUUAGCCAGGCAUGGUGGCGGGAGCCUGUAAUCUCAGCUCCUAGGGAGGCUGAGCCAGAAGAAUCGCUUAAACCUGGAAGCUGGAGGUUGCAGUGAGCCAAGAUCACACCACCACACUCCAGCCUGGGUGACAGAGCAAGACUCCAUCUCAAAAAGAAAAAAAAGAAA
This 541-nucleotide long non-coding RNA is filed under the name Homo sapiens (human). Its description in RNAcentral is "VIPR1 antisense RNA 1". The record is from RNAcentral. Lineage: Eukaryota; Metazoa; Chordata; Mammalia; Primates; Hominidae.